Molecule: ribosomal RNA, 499 nt
Filed under: uncultured Saccharibacillus sp.
Lineage: Bacteria; Bacillati; Bacillota; Bacilli; Caryophanales; Paenibacillaceae
Description: partial 16S ribosomal RNA
Source: RNAcentral
CACGUAGUUAGCCGGGGCUUUCUUCUCAGGUACCGUCACUCCGGGUGCAGUUACUCACCCGGACGUUCUUCCCUGGCAACAGAGCUUUACGAUCCGAAAACCUUCAUCACUCACGCGGCAUUGCUCCAUCAGGCUUUCGCCCAUUGUGGAAGAUUCCCUAUUGCUGCCUCCCGUAGGAGUCUGGGCCGUGUCUCAGUCCCAGUGUGGCCGUUCACCCUCUCAGGUCGGCUACGCAUCGUCGCCUUGGUGAGCCGUUACCCCACCAACUAGCUAAUGCGCCGCAGGCCCAUCUCUCAGUGACAGCUUGCGCCGUCUUUCCUCAUCCUCCGAUGCCGAAAGAUGAUGUAUUCGGUAUUAGUAUCCGUUUCCGGAAGUUAUCCCAAACUGAAAGGCAGGUUGCCUACGUGUUACUCACCCGUCGCCGCUAACCAUCGAAGAAGCAAGCUUCUCUCAAGUCCGCUCGACUUGCAUGUAUUAGGCAUGCCGCCAGCGUUCGUCC